CAAUAGCGUAUAUUAAAGUUGUUGCGGUUAAAAAGUUCGUAGUUGGAUUUCUGUCGGAGACCUGCGGUCUGCGCUACGUGCAUGUAUCUGUAGGGCUCUGGCAUCCUUCCGAAAGACGUCGCUAUGCUUCGUUGCACGGUGCGGAGUUCGGAACUUUUACUUUGAGGAAAUUAGAGUGUUCACGGCAGGCCAACGCCAUGAAUAUAUUAGCAUGGAAUAAUAAUAUAGGAUUUCGGUUCUAUUUUGUUGGUUUCUAGGGCCGAAAUAAUGAUUAAUAGGGACAGUUGGGGGCAUUCGUAUUAAGGCGUCAGAGGUGGAAUUCUUGGAUUGCCUUACGACGAACUACUGCGAAAGCAUUUGCCAAGGAUGUUUUCAUUGA
This 379-nucleotide ribosomal RNA is filed under the name uncultured eukaryote. RNAcentral describes it as "partial 18S ribosomal RNA". It matches the Rfam family "Eukaryotic small subunit ribosomal RNA", at positions 592 to 976 of the family's 1831-position model. The record is from RNAcentral.